RNAcentral lists this long non-coding RNA (498 nucleotides) under Chrysemys picta bellii (western painted turtle). RNAcentral describes it as "lncRNA (ENSCPBG00000003574.1)". The record is from RNAcentral. Lineage: Eukaryota; Metazoa; Chordata; Testudines; Emydidae.
GCAGAUUUAGUCCCUAAAGAAGGAGGAAGUGUAUUUAAGAUAGAAGUAUCUCCAUUGAAAUUUAGGUUGGAAAAAUAAGUUGUGCAACAGUCACUUUAUGAGCUAAGAUUUUUAUUUUUAUUCUGAAUAUCCAGAAAUUUUCCAGUGAAGGCUUAACUUGAAACUGACAAGCACAGUAACACAUUUUGUUUUAGAAAAGUAACAUUUAAAAAAAAUUUGUAAGGAUCCAAAGAGACUACAAUGCAGCAGCCCUUGUCAGUAUCAGCUGCGAUUUUCUAGCUGCACUGAUUUGUCUAUGUAUUGCUCAGUUGUGUGAAUGUAUUUACAACACAUGCCAUGCCUUUUGUUUCUUAGGAGCAACUCAGGUUUUUUAAAGGAGGAGAAUGUCCACAUACAAAUCACGAUUGUCAUAAAGCUGUGACACUUUGGAGUUGCUGGUAAGAGAUCGAUCUUCUUUUCUUGGUGCCAGAAACAUGACAUGGGUCGGGGUUAUGAAAG